Molecule: ribosomal RNA, 531 nt
Filed under: Miniopterus fuliginosus (Japanese long-fingered bat)
Lineage: Eukaryota; Metazoa; Chordata; Mammalia; Chiroptera; Miniopteridae
Description: partial 16S ribosomal RNA
Rfam family: Bacterial large subunit ribosomal RNA
Source: RNAcentral
UUUACCAAAAACAUCACCUCUGGCAUUGAUAGUAUCAGAGGCACUGCCUGCCCAGUGACACCAGUUCAACGGCCGCGGUAUCCUGACCGUGCAAAGGUAGCAUAAUCACUUGUUCUCUAAAUAGGGACUUGUAUGAAUGGCCACACGAGGGUUUAACUGUCUCUUACUUUUAAUCAGUGAAAUUGACCUUCCCGUGAAGAGGCGGGAAUAUAGUAAUAAGACGAGAAGACCCUAUGGAGCUUUAAUUAACCAGGUUACGAAAAUUAAAACUCACUCCUACAGGAGAUAAUUACAUAUUUUCGGUGAUCUGGCAAUUUAGGUUGGGGUGACCUCGGAAUACAGAAAAACUUCCGAGUGAUUAUAAUAUAGACCUACAAGUCGACACAAUACAUCACUUAUUGAUCCAAACCAUUGAUCAACGGAACAAGUUACCCUAGGGAUAACAGCGCAAUCCUAUUCUAGAGUCCAUAUCGACAAUAGGGCUUACGACCUCGAUGUUGGAUCAGGACAUCCUAAUGGUGCAGCAGCUAU